CUCAUAUGCUCUUUGUAAUAUAUCAAUCUCUGCAUCAACUUCGAAUUCAUCAUCCUAAUCGCUACAUCUUCUUCUUCAAUCCCCAAUUACCAGAAUUACUGAGUAGAUCAAUCGCUAUUUGUAAUUGAAACCCUAACUAUCAAAAAGUGAUUCUGAUUCCAUCAAUCUUGCCUAAAAUCUUAUGUGUUCUUCGAUCUAAACAGAUUGGAUUUAAAGUUGUGAGGGAUGCUACGCCGGUGAGAUGAAUUGCCAUGAAAUAUUACUUCAAACUAACUAACUGAGAUGUGUAAUUGUUAUAUUUUAUAAAUAAUUUCAAACCUAAAAUAGAAGUCAAAUUUGUGGACAAGGUGAAGCAUUUAUGGUGCUUCCACCAUCUCAGAUGGCGGCAUCGGGUGGUGCUUGGGCAGUCUAUUAACAUGGCUUGACACGAUUGCUUUUAUAGGUAGACAUGGAGGACACAUUCAAUCACUAUCUGAGAUAACGAUGAAGAUGUAUAUGAGGAACCAAUAGUGGACAUUGAUGAUGUUGACAAGAAUUAUCACCUUGCAGUGGUGGAAGAGAUGUUUCUCAUCCUGUAAACAUUAAUCAACCAACCUCCAUGCAGUCUGAAUAAUCUCACUAAACCAGUAGGUGUGGGGUAUGAAAUUUAACAUAAAUCGGUCGCCACAGGUUUGUGGCAUUGUUAACUUAAUUUUUCACUGUUCGUUAGGUGAUGCAAGUGAUUUGUGGAUUGUUAAUAUAGGUCAAGGUUAUUACAGCAGUUCAUUCAGACAUAAGAUCAUUCAAACAAAUUCCUUGGAAGCAAUUGUCAACUGGAAAUUGGAAGAAUAUAUGCAAAAGUGAAUCGAUUCUUUCAUGUAUGAACAUUGAUACUCUCCGAAGUAUGGUAUGCACAACCGGUAACAGAGAGGCUGCCCAAUUCUAGCUUGACAAUUGGACGAAUAUAGGUCCUCUGUUUCUGUCAUUUCUAAAGACCUGCAAAGUUGCAGAUAUGCUAUUAUUAAACCGCAAUUCAAAGGAAUGGCGGUAGAAUUUACACAAUGUUUGGAAGUCAUUAACUCAACCACCUUUAUGACUGAAAAAGACAAAUGGUGCUGGUCAAGGGAUGCGUCUGGGACGUUCUUGACACUGGGUCUGGGAAGAGAGAUGGCGAGAAGCUCGGGUACGCAUGAAGAAUAUAAGCAUGUAUGGUUGAAUUGGGCAUCAAUAAAGAUAAAUUUCUUUGUCUAACGGGUGGCGAAUGACAUGAUCCCGACAAGGUUAGUAAUAAGGUUUGUAAGAAACUUAGAAUUUAACAUUUAUUCAAAGGAAAACCAAAUAACUUUGCCAUAGAUUCGAAUGUAUUGAUGGAAGGAUGACCAAGCCAAUCGUGAAAAUUAGAGGUUGUGACCAUGUUGACUUGGGAAACGGAUGGAGCCGGUGCGUAAUACACAUCAUUGUCGUUCACCCCCCGAAGAAGAGGCGCCCCUGUGAUUAUGAAAUGAACAAAAAAAAUAAGAAGGAACAAAUUCACAGAAACUUAGUUAGUUUUGCAUAGUUUAGCAACCGAAACUAGAUCGCCCCCAUCUCUUCUUCUGUAGCGAAUGUUGUUCCACCGCUGUGCUAUUGCAAACCACCUCCGUCAAUGACCACAUAAAGGAACUCACUCACACAGUUAACUCUACAGUCAAAGGGUGAGUUGAGGAAGCUGCUUAAAGUGGAGAAUCCUUAUAAUAAGUCUACUGCUGUUGUUUGGAAACCUGGUGGGGUGAAAUUGAAAGCCAUGUCUGCUUCUGUAAGUAUUGCUUGCUAAUAUAGUUUUGAUUUUAUUCAAAUAUGUCAUUUGUAGUAUACUCUUAUGUUGUCGAAAACUCUUUAGUAAUAUUUUUUGGGUAUGGUUUUGUAUCAGACGACUAUGAUGAUGAUUAGUAGGUACAAGCAUGAUAGUUUUGAGUCAAACCCGGUACAUAUGGACAACCUCAAAUCGAUUAGGGUUUUGAGAGAUGUACUUCGAAUGAAGGGUCACUGUAUGCUCUGAUCUAAUCGUUACUUCAUUUUGUUUCCUUCGUUGACUUUUUUUACCGACCUAAAAUUGAUUAUAUCAUCCUUUAUUAUUUUAAAAAGUCACAAAAUAAUGUUUAUACAGUAAACCAUCGUGUUUUUUUUUCCAGUGACUUUUGAAAAUAGUUAACAUAUAAUGAAAGUUAAUAGAACUACUGACGAUGAUAGUCCAGUAUGUUUCUUCAAAUAAUGCUUAUUUGUGUAUUUUCAGUUUUUGUUUAGUAUAUGCAUUGUAUAUUUUUGGGGUGUAGUAUGUAUACACUUAGGUGUUCGAUAUUUUGAUUUGGAGACAAUUGGGCCUUGAACUUUCUCUUAAACCGUCAUCUUCUUAUAUGGCUCAUGUCCCUACUUCGAUGGUAUAUAUUCAUCUCCGUAUUUAGUAUGACGACCUUGUAAUAUAUAGUCAUAUUUUGUAGUAAAUAAAUGAUGUAAAAUGUAACUGUUUUGUUUUCAUGUGGUCAUUGGAACAUUUGUGUCCGCUUGAAGUGUGGCAUACCAUUCUCUAAAAUAGAAGAAAUAAUAGGACUCUCCACAUAAAUAUAUGAUAUAUGCAUGUAAAUAUGACAUAUGAGGAGACUGUGGAAGUUAUGUGGAGGCUAUGAAAGUGGUACCUUGGAGGAGCUCCUAAGUCCUAUAUGUUGAUAUGCAACGAGAGUAUUAGAAUUUAUAUGCAAAAGCCAUAUUGUUUAAACGAUGCUUAAUCAUCUUACAUCAAAUUAAGGUGAUUGAGCUUGAUUGAAAGUGGCACUGGUGAGGACAGAGAGAUGACAGAGAGAUGCUGGUCUCUUAGAAAAUUCAAUGAAUGCGAGUUAUUUCUCUCGGUGAUUACACCCAUGAUCGGAGGUAUACCAGAACCAGCGGAUCUGGCGGUGACGGCGUCUAGGGUUCCGCCGCAAGCGGCAGAGGCUGCUGCCAUGUGGUUAGAAAAGAAUCGUCGUCGUAGCUGUGACGGCAACAUAUGAACGGGGGAUGCAGGCUCUGAGCUUUGCCAAUGUUCAUCUUUCACAAACAACAAGAAAAUUUGCACCGGAUAAGUUUUCUGCAAGAGUUUUACCUCAGUUGAUUAUUUCGUCACAAUCGUUAUUCUUCAUCAGUGGAUCAGAUGUCAAUCAGCAGAUGUGGUGUUAUUAUCUUAUACUAAGUGUUUGGGAUUAUCAGUUGUUUUACAUCAAUAGUUGGAAUUCAUAUUGGUUUAUGGACCAUGUUUACAUCAAAUUAAGGUGAUUGAGCUUGAUUGAAAGUGGCACUGGUGAGGACAGAGAGACGCUGGUCUCUUGGAACAUUCAACGGAUGUGAGUUAGACUCACGGUGAUUACACCCAUGAUCGGAGGUAUACUGGAACCAGCGGAUCUGGUGGUGACGGCGUCUAGGGUUCCGUCGCAAGUGGCAGAGACUGCUGCCAUGUGGUUAGAAAAGAAUCGUCACUAUAGCUGUGAUGGUGGCAUAUGAACGGGGAUGUAGGUAUUGUCUUGAUUAACAUAUACAUUCGCAACAAGAAGGUAAACUCGCAAAGCCACUUCAGCUGUGUAACUCACGUUGGGGAAUGAUGUGUCCUGCAGAAAUACUUGAAGAACACAUAGCAUUCAUUACUUAACACUCAUUGGUUUAGCUUAAUACUUUUAUUUUCAAAUUAUAAUAUUUAGCUCUUAAAAGAUAUAUAAAACCAUGUGGACUUUCGAACAAUGUUGGCAUUAAUGGCAUGUAUAACACUUCAUCUUCAAAUCCCAUUUAUGAGUUCAUGGAUGGAUGGAGCUUGGAAGUUCGUAACCCAACCCUAUUGUUUUCCAGGUCUAAUGCAUACAUAAUGAUGUCUUAAUAGAUAUUUUUGAAAAAAAAAAACAAUAAUAGACAGCAGGCUCAAUUUAUUACACAUUAGAUGAAGGCAGGUAAAAUUUUUGAUCCUGUAGUCGCAAAACCCCAAAAAAGUUAGUAAUUAUGAAUCCUUAUAUUUUUAGCUGGUGGGUAAUAGGUUGUUGGUUGAGGUUUGUUUAUAAUAUUCGGUUGGUUUCGAUGUUGGGUCGGAAGCUUCUUCUGUUCGGCACGUUUCGUUUAAUUCUGUUUGGUUUGGGGGUUCUUCUAUUAUUUUGCAAGCUUCUGUUAUCUGUCUUCAUGGUCCAUGGCAACAAGUGGGAGAGAUUUUGGUGUUAUGGGCAUUUAGACAAGUGGGCCUAAUUUAUUUUCAUGGCAUAUUUUGGUCCCUAAUAUAUUCAUGUUGAUAGCCUAUGGUAAUUUUAUUAAGUGGAUGGUCAACCGUGUUUUGCGUUUGCUAAAUGGGACCAAAGAGAUUAAUUAUUUUGGAGGCCCUUUAUUUGGUAUUUUGGUUAGCCCUUCAGGGCAGUAAUUGCUUCUGUCGUUUGGGUCUCUAUAUCCCAAAGUUCGGUCUCUAAAUGGGUUUGGUUAAUGGUCUACAAAAUUAAAUAAUAUAAUGUAUUUUAAACAUGUUAAACCCCAUUUAUAUUAGUAAUGUAGAUGUGCUCUAUUGUAACAACAAAUGUCGCGUAUAAAGAAGUCUUUAACAAGUUGUGAUUUUUUUUGUAUUCAUUUAUUUCAUUUAUUAAGUGUAAGUUACAUUUACGUUAGUACCGGAACGUUUCUUUCAUUAAAAGAUUAUGUCAACGGUGAUAAUGAAGAAAAUUUCUUUUACCAACCCACGAAGUUCGCGGGUUCUUAAACUAAAUCUAUACUAGGCGAUUCUCAAUAUAUAUGGCUUAUACUGUUCACGAACUUUCUCUUAAACAAUCAUAUUCUUAUAUGGUUUAUGUUCCUAUUUCGAUGGUAUAUAUUCAUCUCUCUAUUUAGUAUGACGAUGCUGUAAUAUAUAUAGAUAUAGUCAUAUUUUGUAGCAAAUAAAUGAUGUAAAAUGUAAUUGUUUUGUUUUCAGGUGGUCAUUGGGAAACAGAGCUGGUCAUUGGAAAACAUAGCUGUAAAGCCUCAAAACAUCAUUUGAAGCCUCGCGAUUUCAUUUGAAGCUUAUUGAACCUUAAAAUUAAAUUUAAGAAGUCAUUUGGGAAGUUUCAUACAAUUUAAAGACAUUUCGGACGACAUUUGUCCCAUUCAACCUAUUUCUUUUUUAGCUAAUAUUUUGUUUUACUAAUUUGACAUGUUAUAUAUCGACUCAUUUAUUUAUAAAGGGUCAAAUUUUUUACAUGUUAUGGAAGAUGCAAAAUAAAAAAAAAAAUGGUAGCAUGGAGAUCACUUGAGAUAUUAUAUAAACAUUUGUGAUUAAUAAAAUUUAAAUAUUCAACCCGUGAGUAUUCACGGGUGAUAACCUAGUUGUUCUAUAUAUUUUAUUUUUUAGCUAUCACCGGAAGCUUUUAAUAUUUGAACCAACCACUUCAAGCACAUUUAUUGUUGAUUCAAUAAAAAAGGGAAAGUUGGAGGAAAGUUACCUCAUUUCAGAGCUAAUUCCUGGUGGUUUCGAGAGAAAUUUUACAUGGACAGUUAUCAAUCGCUACCAACAACCGGGCUCCUGGGAAUGCGGUUAUAUGUUGAUAAAACAUAUGUGGGAGUUUGUUGAAACAAUUCAACAUGACUUAUUAAUCGUAAAUGGAAUACACAAGAGAAGACUUCGGGUGAAGAAAUUGAAUCUAUGGUCGUAGACUUGAUGGAGCGUUGGAUUAAGGAGGUGUUUGGGGUUCUGACAUGAACUCCGUAAAGGUGUCUCAAGGAACUGAGUGAGAUUGUUUUUGCACAUGAAAUGCAGAUAACUGUCAAAAGCCAUCAGUGAGGUUGCAAGCAUGGAUUGAAGACAUUGGUUUGGGUUAAAAAUAUGAAGACAUCGGUCGGUUCAGGAACUUAUUGUAUGUCAAUUUCAUCUUUAGAGUUAUAUGUAUUGUUGUGUUAAUGGAAAACUUUUGUAAUAUUGUGUUACUGUGAAACCUUUAUAUUUUAUAUUCUUAGGUU
RNAcentral lists this long non-coding RNA (5943 nucleotides) under Helianthus annuus (common sunflower). RNAcentral's name for it is "hypothetical non coding rna". The record is from RNAcentral. Lineage: Eukaryota; Viridiplantae; Streptophyta; Magnoliopsida; Asterales; Asteraceae.